RNAcentral lists this ribosomal RNA (375 nucleotides) under uncultured bacterium. RNAcentral describes it as "bacterial SSU rRNA". It matches the Rfam family "Bacterial small subunit ribosomal RNA", at positions 28 to 409 of the family's 1533-position model. The record is from RNAcentral.
GACGAACGCUGGCGGCGUGCUUAACACAUGCAAGUCGAACGGUAAGGCCCUUCGGGGUACACGAGUGGCGAACGGGUGAGUAACACGUGGGUGGUCUGCCCUGCACUUCGGGAUAAGCCUGGGAAACUGGGUCUAAUACCGGAUAGGACCAUGGACUUCACGGUUUGUGGUGGAAAGCUUUUGCGGUGUGGAUGGGCCCGCGGCCUAUCAGCUUGUUGGUGGGGUAAUGGCCUACCAAGGCGACGACGGGUAGCCGGCCUGAGAGGGUGUCCGGCCACACUGGACUGAGAUACGGCCCAGACUCCUACGGGAGGCAGCAGUGGGGAAUAUUGCACAAUGGGCGCAAGCCUGAUGCAGCGACGCCGCGUGAGGGAU